GACGAACGCUGGCGGCGUGCUUAACACAUGCAAGUCGAACGGAAAGGCCCUGCUUUUGUGGGGUGCUCGAGUGGCGAACGGGUGAGUAACACGUGAGUAACCUGCCCUUGACUUUGGGAUAACUUCAGGAAACUGGGGCUAAUACCGUAUAGGAGCUCCUGCUGCAUGGUGGGGGUUGGAAAGUUUCGGCGGUUGGGGAUGGACUCGCGGCUUAUCAGCUUGUUGGUGGGGUAGUGGCUUACCAAGGCUUUGACGGGUAGCCGGCCUGAGAGGGUGACCGGCCACAUUGGGACUGAGAUACGGCCCAGACUCCUACGGGAGGCAGCAGUGGGGAAUAUUGCACAAUGGGCGGAAGCCUGAGGCAGCAACGCCGCGUGCGGGAUGACGGCCUUCGGGUUGUAAACCGCUUUCGCCUGUGACGAAGCGUGAGUGACGGUAAUGGGUAAAGAAGCACCGGCUAACUACGUG
RNAcentral lists this ribosomal RNA (468 nucleotides) under uncultured bacterium. RNAcentral describes it as "partial 16S ribosomal RNA". It matches the Rfam family "Bacterial small subunit ribosomal RNA", at positions 28 to 507 of the family's 1533-position model. The record is from RNAcentral.